Molecule: transfer RNA, 71 nt
Filed under: Staphylococcus aureus
Lineage: Bacteria; Bacillati; Bacillota; Bacilli; Caryophanales; Staphylococcaceae
Also listed under: 1 other name
Description: tRNA-Leu
Rfam family: tRNA
About the family: Transfer RNA (tRNA) molecules are approximately 80 nucleotides in length. Their secondary structure includes four short double-helical elements and three loops (D, anti-codon, and T loops).
Source: RNAcentral
GGCGGAACUGGCAGACGCACAGGACUUAAAAUCCUGCGGUGAGAGAUCACCGUACCGGUUCGAUUCCGGUC